Molecule: RNA transcript, 5095 nt
Organism: Ricinus communis (castor bean)
Lineage: Eukaryota; Viridiplantae; Streptophyta; Magnoliopsida; Malpighiales; Euphorbiaceae
Exons: 9
Source: RefSeq, a predicted model, not a curated record
UGCAAAGACUCCUUCCGAAUGCCCAAAAGAAUUGCCUCAACGUCAAAGCCAAUGUGUACAGGCACUCACUAAACUCCAGAAUCCACAAUUCUCAUAGCCAAACACACCUCUAUCUCGCUCUCUCUCAUUCUUUUGUAUCCUAAAAGAAAAAACCUAAUAAACCAUUGAUCACCACCAUCCCUCUUCUUCUUCUUCUUCUUUUCUUCUUCUUCUUCUCUCUACACCAUUUCAAUAUUUUAAUGCUUCAAUAUUCUAUUGAUUCGCCGACAAGUCGCCAUUUUCCCAGGAAUUGAUUGAAAGUAUUUCCCUCUUAGGGUUUUGAUAAUCUGACCCCCACCCCUCACCUCUCAUUUCUGUCACUAAUUUGGUCCCUUUAGGGUUUUCUAAUCUUUGAUUUCUAGGGUGCUAUCUUUUUUUCUUUUUGUUUAUAUUGUCCUUCUUCUUUUAAUAGAUUCAUUCAUUGCUUUAAUACCACAACAAUCUAGCAAACCGGAUACUUCUAAAAAUUUUUGGAAAUUGAAGUGCCUUUUUUGUUUUUGAAUUUUCUUACUUGUUAUAUUUGUUUGACCAAACCCCAAAUUUUUUUUUAAGAAAUUACCUUACUUGCCAUUUGAAUACUGAAAAGAUUUUAAGCAAUUUGAGGCUUUGUUAAUUGCAAAAAUUCCUUCUUCAGGAACAGAUUCACCUGACUAAUGAACUAGUUAAUUUCUUCUUUUUUUUCCUGUUGUUGUAUUGUAACCUUUCUCUUUUUAAUGCAUCUGUGCUAUUCUUUUACGGGGUGAGAUUUUGGUUUUGGGUAUUAGUAAUUUGCAUAAAAAGCAAUAGAAAAGAAGCAGAAGGGACCUAAAGAUUGCAUGGGCGAGCAUGAGAGAGUAUUGCCAAAUGGCCUAUUGCCUAAUGAAGCAGCCUCUGUGAUCAGAGUGCUUGACUCAGAGCGAUGGGCAAAGGCUGAAGAGCGAACUGCCGAGCUUAUUGACUGCAUUAAGCCCAAUGAGCCCUCCGAAAGGCGUAGAAAUGCUGUUGCUGAUUAUGUGGAGCGGCUUAUUACAAAAUGUUUUCCUUGCCGGGUGUUUACUUUUGGGUCUGUACCGCUCAAGACUUAUUUGCCAGAUGGAGACAUCGACUUAACAGCCUUCAGUGAGGGUCAAUCUAUGAAAGAGACCUGGGCUCAUCAGGUUCGUGAUGUGCUGGAGAAUGAAGAGAAGAACGAGAAUGCUGAAUUCCGUGUGAAAGAGGUUCAGUACAUUCAGGCAGAAGUGAAGAUAAUAAAGUGUCUUGUGGAAAAUAUUGUGGUGGACAUAUCUUUCGAUCAGCUUGGUGGGCUAUGUACCCUUUGUUUCCUUGAGGAGGUUGAUCAUUUGAUAAAUCAAGACCAUUUAUUCAAGAAGAGCAUUAUAUUGAUAAAGGCAUGGUGUUAUUAUGAGAGCCGUAUCUUGGGUGCUCACCAUGGGUUGAUUUCCACUUAUGCUCUGGAAACCUUAGUUCUCUAUAUAUUUCAUGUUUUCAACAAUUCAUUUGCUGGACCCCUUGAGGUCCUAUAUCGUUUUCUCGAGUUCUUCAGUAAGUUUGAUUGGGACAAUUUUUGUGUUAGCCUCUGGGGUCCUGUGCCCAUUAGUUCACUACCAGAUGUAACAGCGGAACCUCCUCGAAAGGACGGUGGAGAGUUACUGCUUAGCAAGUUAUUUCUCAAAGCCUGCGGCGCAGUAUAUGCUGUUUCUCCUGGUGGCCCAGAAAGUCAAGGACAAACUUUCACAUCCAAACACUUCAAUGUCAUUGAUCCUUUGCGUGUAAACAACAACCUUGGUCGUAGUGUGAGUAAAGGCAACUUCUUUAGGAUACGUAGUGCAUUUGCAUUUGGUGCUAAAAGGCUGGCAAGGUUACUUGAUUGCCCAAAAGAAGACAUACAUUUUGAAGUAAAUCAAUUCUUUAUGAACACCUGGGAUAGACAUGGUAGUGGACUGCGUCCUGAUGCUCCAAAGAAUGAUUUAUGGCGCUUGAGAUUGCCAGCUCCUGAUGUAUCACAUGGAUCUGAUCAUCACAAUAGCAAUUCAAACAGCAAAACUUCUGCUCGUGAAGCUCAAGUUGAUGUGGCUCCUGGUGCACGUACAGUUCCCUCUCAAUCUGGUAAUUCCCUCUUAGAAAGCUCAUCGAGAAGUAGUGAAGUUGCUGCAGUUUCUCAUAGUCAAAGCCAAAAGACUUAUGUUAACCCUAAUAAUACAAGGACGUCUGAUCAACCUAGAAGGGAAAAAAGCAGUUCCAAUUAUGGCUCGCAUGCUGAGAAAAAUCUAAGAAUAUCUAAACCUGAUAACUUGGUCAGUGACCUCCAGGGAAGGUAUCCUUUGGCAAGAACGCGUUCUAGUCCCGCACUUACAGAGACAUAUGGUGAAGUUCCAUUUCAGGGUAGGCGUAACAGAGCCCAAGAAACUGGAAAAGGCCAGACCUCAUCUGCUAGGUUGGAUAACAACCGGAGGAAAAAUGUGGAAUCUGAUACCUUGGGAAGCCAUGGUCUUAGAUCUUCAACUGAUGAUCCUUCAUCCAUUAGACAUAUCUCAUCCCGUCAAAACCCUGGUACAACUGCUGCUGAUACAAACAGUGUUUCAAACAGUUACCAUGAUGAUUCUGGCAUGGUUGGUACUGGUGAAGAAUUUGCUUCUGUCCUUGGGGCACAGCACAUGCAUCAGGAAGAUCAAGAUUUUGUGAACAUGAUAGCAUCUUCUGCAGGUCUUGGUUUUAAUGGACAAGUUCACCUUCCGCCAAAUUUAGCAUCAAAUCACAUACCUUUUCCAAUCUCACCUUCUGUUCUAGCAUCAAUGGAAUAUGCGCCCCAGAGAAAUUUGGGUGGAAUGCUACCUGCAAAUAUACCAUUGAUGGACAACCCAUGGGGCACAAAUAUGCACUUUCCUCAUUAUUUUCCUGGCAUAGGGUUGACCUCCAAUACAGAAGAUUCUGUUGAACCUCGGAAUGAGCAUUUUGGUUCCUUGGAUAUGAAUGCCAUUGAGGCUGAUCGUGAUUUCUGGCAUGAGCCAGAGAGGAGCUCCCCCAGUGGGAUUGAUCUUGACAAUGGAAGCUUUGAAAUGCAUCAAUCGGAUGAUAAGCAGCAAUCUACUUCAGCUAGUUAUAACUUCGCUCCUUCAUCCCUAAUAAGUGGCUCUGCUAGCUCUUUGAGAGUUCAACAGAAGUUCUCCAAAGAAUCUCGAGGGUCAGUGAGGGAAGAUCAUCUAGAUGCUUUCCCUUAUCAAGAAAGCAGAGGCACUGAAGUUUCCUUUGAUGACAGAGUUGCGGGUUCAAGGUCCUUUCCUACUGUGAAUACUAGCUCUCUGAGAAGUAAAACCUCUUCUGAGAGUUCGUGGGAGGGAUCACCUGCAAAGGCAUCAAAAUCAACAAGGGAAAAGAGAAAUAGGAAAACAGCUUCUUCUACAGUUCCAUCUGCUGUUUAUGGUAAAGGUAAGAAUGUUUCUGAACAUUCCUCCAACCAGGGAGAUGAUGAAACUAAAGAAUGGAAUCCACCGUCCACUAUCAGCCCUGAAAUAAUAGAAAGAAGCAUAGGACUUCAAUCUGCUUCUGCUGUGCAUGUUCCAAGGCAUCAGAUUCCUGGAUUUGAAACAGCACAGACGAGUGGAUCUGAGUCAUUGCUCUCUAUGGCUCCUGUGCUCUUGGGACCUGGUUCAAGGCAAAGAACUACAGAUAGUUCAGGGCUUGUUCCAUUUGCAUUUUAUCCCACAGGGCCACCAGUUCCAUUUGUUACAAUGCUUCCAGUUUACAACUUUCCUUCUGAGGCAGGAACUUCUGAGGCAUCAACAAGUCAAUUCAGUGUUGAGGAGGGCGCAGAUAACAGCGAUUCUGGUCAGAACUUUGAUUCAUCGGAUGGAAUUGAUCAAUCUGAGGUUUUAAGUACUAAUUCUAUGAUAAGGACUGCUUCUAUUGAGCCAUUGGAGCACAAAACCGACAUUCUAAAUAGUGAUUUUGCUAGCCACUGGCAGAAUUUGCAAUAUGGGCGCUUUUGCCAAAACUCCCGGUUCAAUUCGCCAAUGGUUUGUCCUUCACCUCUUAUGGUGCCACCGGUAUAUUUACAAGGUCGUAUCCCAUGGGAUGGUCCUGGAAGACCUCUGUUAACCAAUAUGAAUAUUUUCUCUCAGCUUGUGAAUUAUGGACCUCGUCUCGUUCCUGUGGCUCCUCUACAGUCUGUCUCUAAUCGACCUGCUGGUGUUUACCAACAUUAUGUUGAUGAAAUACCAAGAUAUCGCAGUGGGACAGGGACCUACCUGCCAAGUCCUAAGGUUUCUAUUCGUGACCGACAUACUUCAAAUACUAGAAAGGGAAAUUACAGUUAUGAUAGAAAUGACCACCAUGGCGAUAGGGAAGGGAACUGGCAUGUGAAUCCAAAGCCUCGAGCCGCUGGGCGACCAAGCCGUGGUCAAGCUGAGAAGUUAAGUUCAAGGCUUGACCGCUUGGCUGCAAAUGAAAGCCGUACUGAUAGAACAUGGGGCUCUCAUAAUAGACAUGAUACAUUCUCUUCAUACCAGUCUCAAAAUGGUCCAAACCGUCAGAACUCACAGAGUGGUUCUACUAUGGCAUAUGGCAUGUAUCCAGUAAAUCCUGGGGGAGUUUCUUCAAAUGGGCCUAACUUUCCACCCGUUCUCAUGUUGUAUCCUUAUGAUCAGAGUGCUGGUUUUGGCAAUCCUGCAGAACAACUUGAGUUUGGAUCUCUAGGGCCAGUGGGUUUCUCAGGUGUAAAUGAGCUGUCACAUUCAAAUGAAGGAAGUCGAUCGAGUGGGGGAUUUGAGGACCAAAGAUUUCAUGGAAGCUCUGGCCAACGGUCUUCACCGGAUCAACCUUCUUCACCUCAUUUCCAGAGGUAGUCAUCAUUCUGUCUGUUAAGUGCAAGGUUUCGGUGGGCCUGAGCCAGGUUGCUUUGUGGAUAAGUGGCAGUACUUAGAAUAUAAUACUUAAGAGAUCGGCAGGCUAAAGGAAUUAUACAGUGAAGGACGACGAUUUCCCACCUCUUGUAUCUCUGAACCAUCCACUCUAUGAUGAUUGAUACUAUGAUGAGAAACCCUCCAGUACCAGGCCAUUGUGAUCUCCACCCAAUUUAUGA